UACGGAGGGUGCAAGCGUUAUCCGGAUUUACUGGGUUUAAAGGGUGCGCAGGCGGAUAUGUAAGUCAGUGGUGAAAUCUCUAGGCUUAACCUGGAAAUUGCCAUUGAUACUAUAUAUCUUGAAUGCUGUGGAGGUAAGCGGAAUAUGUCAUGUAGCGGUGAAAUGCUUAGAUAUGACAUAGAACACCUAUUGCGAAGGCAGCUUACUAGACAGAGAUUGACGCUCAUGCACGAAAGCAUGGGGAUCAAACAGG
Molecule: ribosomal RNA, 253 nt
Filed under: uncultured bacterium
Lineage: Bacteria
Description: partial 16S ribosomal RNA
Rfam family: Bacterial small subunit ribosomal RNA
Source: RNAcentral